This 9530-nucleotide small RNA is filed under the name Pyricularia oryzae. Its description in RNAcentral is "Magnaporthe oryzae sRNA M_BR32_EuGene_00138051". The record is from RNAcentral. Lineage: Eukaryota; Fungi; Ascomycota; Sordariomycetes; Magnaporthales; Pyriculariaceae.
UAAUAUAUUAAGGAUUUUCCGUAUUUAAAAAACCGAUAACCAAAAUUAAUAUAGCGGGUAAAGGAACGCAAUGUUGGAUAUUUCCAAUAAAUUUGCCGUUUAUUUGUAAUAUAAUUGUUCCGCCCCGUUGUACCAACGCCCUAAAAAUAAUUUCCACGGUGGCAUUUACGGCGUUUGCAAAAUGUAGUUGCAGCCAAAUAUUUUUCACUAAACGGGUAUAUUUUGUGUUUUUUUCUCGUUUUAAUUUUUUAAUAUGCUCGAUAAUAAUGCAAUUUAAUGUUGGUAACGCGGUGAAAAUAUCUUUAAAGCCCUCCACCGUAGGCCGUAAUAUGCCAACACUAUUGUACGUGCAAUAUACGUUUUCGACGGCAGGAUCGUCCCAGCGGAGUGCGCCUUUGCGUUUUCCGCCAGACAAAAGUGGAUGCGUUGCCCAUUGGUUACGUUGGUAUUUCGGCCAAACUGCGUAAUAUAUUUUCAGCGUUUUUACAUUAUUGGCGAUUGCAGUGUUGGUUAAAAAAACCUGUAAAUUUUUUACGCAAUUAAUUGUGGUAAGAACCUUUAUAAUAUAGGCAAAUAUAGGGAAGGUAAUAUUUGCUAGCUAUAAGGACGUUAAACGCAAGUUCCGUAGGGUACCCAAUAAUAAAAAAGUGGCAAUUUUAAUAACGAAUUCCGGGGGAAGUCGAUCCAUAUCGUUAACGAUUUGCAAUUGAAAUCGGUGCAAAUCCGGACAACCCAAAUUGGAUAAAUGUUGGCGGAUUUAUUAAUAUUUCCAAAUUUGGCAAUCUUUUGGUUGCCAGGAUCCAGAUUUAAAAUCCCUUUGGCAAUUCGGCCUGUCCCCAGGGCCUGGGCAAUAAAAAUAAACGACCUAAUUAUAAUAAUAUUACCUUAAGCGGGGAAAUUACCAUCGGUAUACUGAAAAAGCGGAGAUAAACCCGACAAUUUGGUAUUAUAUUAUAUAUUAUAGCGUAUUGGAACUAGCCCACCUAAAUUUUCCCCUGCAAUAUAAUUGGUUAAACUUUUAUUUUGCUCCAUAUAUUAUAUAUAGCCAACGUUGUUUUCGGCCCUCCAAAUAAUGCGUAGCCAAUUAAAUGGAUAAAUUUACUUUUAUUAUCAAGUUUUCUGGAGCAAAGACUGCCAUUUAGGUUAUAGUGUUUGCUAUUCCGGUUUUUUGCCCGCCAUUCCGCCGGAGCGGUAAAUAUAUGCACAACUUAAACCCGGUUUCAAUUUACCUCGCUGCUGCGAAUGGAAUUUGACCAUCCCGUACAAAAGUUUUCGCUAUGUCCCAAUGGUUUCGUCAUUUAAAUGCUAAAUAAAUGGAAUGGAAAGUAUUACAGCCCCGUUUAUUUAUCCAUUGGCGAUAAAAUUUAGCAAUCUUACGCAUUUAAACGUUUGCAUUUGGAAAUUUUAAUAAUUGAUUUUACCAUAUAUUUAAAAUUUUAAAAUAUAAAAUAUAAAAUGCAUUCCCGAUAUUUCUUACUAUUUGUAAAAAGUUAUAAAUAUAACCUCGCUUCCCAUACAAAUUGGAUUAUUGCAAUAUUUGAGACAGUAGAAAUAAAAGACACAUAUUAAAUAUAGUUCUUCCCUCCUUUUGCCUUAAUAUCUGCUAUAUUAUGGUAAAUUUAUAUAAUAUUAACCGCGCUGUAGUUUAGGUUUCCAGAAUUAUACAAUUCGGUCCUGUCAAAUGCUGGUUUUGUAAAACCCUGUAUAAAUACAACUAUAUUUGCUAAUUUUGAAAUCGCUUCAUUUUGGCGGUUAAAUUCCUGGUUAGCCUGUCUGUUAUAUUGUUUGAAUAUAGAAAUAAUACGAUUUUUGUCGUUUUUAACUUGUUUUUGGGCAAGAAUCUGGCGCCUUAAUUUGCGAUUUUCCUUUUGAAAAAUAUUAAUCUGGUCCUCCGACCAAGUGAUCGGCCUAUGUUUUAAGUUAUUAUCCAGGUAGGUUUUGUUGGCCAGGGGUGGCGGGGCUCGUGGUAAUUCGUAUUUUGGCGAUAAAGGGGGUAGGGGAAAUGGUUUGUCUAUAGCUCGACUAUGCUGCGACUUAAUCUCCUCCAAAAACAAACUCAAACUGCUGCGCAUAUUAUUUUUCGGCCAUAUUUUGCUGUGGUUCCUAAACCAGUGGGACCAAAAUCUUAGCUUGAACAAUAUCGUUUGUAAAAACGCAGUAUAAUUACGUUUUUGGGUUUCCAACUCGAACGAGCACCCAAUAUUGUAGCUCCAUUUGGAAAUUUGGGGUUGGGCCAUAUUUGGUUUGGAAAAUAUUAACACCCUGAAGCAGUUAUUAAAUAUUUAAAGGAGCCGCCAGGACCCUGGAAAGGGGCUGGUACCGGUUUUCGGGGUAUUUUAGGUUUGUUAUAUAAAAUGGAUUACCGUAUAUAUUUUAAUAUUGGGAAAAAUGGAAACCGCCAAAGUAAAAAUAAAAAGGGCUUUAAUUACGUUGGCCUUUCUUUUUACCAGUGCAGUUUUCCUAUAUUAUAAUCUUUCCAAGGAAAUGCGAAAAAAUGGAAUAGCUACAAUUACAAUUAAAUUAUUAAUGCUAAACUCUCCCCAAUUUCCACUUUUUAACUCUGCUAUAGACGACGUAGGAUCAAAAAUCAAAAACCGCAUUUCCAACGCUAUUAGCCUUGCCACUAAAAUCCCGCCUAAUAUCGAAAGUAUUGUUUCACGGUUUGCAACCCGCGUAUCGGAACUCGCCAGUGAAACUACGGGCCUUUUAAAUGCUAUUACAAUCGGCGGACCAUUGAAAAUUACGUUGGGAACAGACCAAAUCUGCCAGUUAAAUAAUUAUAACCGUCCCUGCCGCAAUUUCCCAUCGAGUUUAUCGGAACUAUUUCCAAUGCCGUUCCCAAUAUUGCAGAAAAUAAACUUGUUUUGGGCCAUAUUAGGUGCCAUUCGUGCUUUUAUCGCAAUUUCUCUGGCUGGAAUCCUGAUUUUAAAUAUUAUCUUUAUCGUCCCAUUUCUUUUCGGUUUUAUUAUCCUGCGAACAAUGCCAAUAUUGCGAAUUUUGAUCGAAAUAAUAGUGUUUUUCCUUAUUGCGGUUCCUUUAGUAAUUGCUGCGAUGGCGGUAAUUGCUGUUCCUUUUUUAUUUGAAACUUUGGGUAUUUUAGAGGUUACAAAAGGAAAUCUUGGGUGGUGUUUGGGUAUUGCUUUGGUAAUUACUAUCCUGUCAAAUAUUUCGUUUAUUUUUUCCCGCACAAUAUAGAAUAUAUAUUCGAACCGUUUUUAACCUGCCAAACCAGACGUGCAUUUAAGUUUAUUAGGUAGGAAUUUAUAUAUUAAAUUAUAUAGCGUUAUAUAAGUGCAAAUUAUACGCGCGUUGCUAGAUUUGUCGGGCUCUAAUGCUAAUUACGCUAUACAAAUAUGUGACACUUUAAUUUAUUUAUUAAAACACCUGGAACUUCCUGAACCCGACGCCCCCGACCUGAAAGUAGUACCCAGCUUUUGCAAACGUUGUUAAAAUUGUUAUUAAAUUUCUAUUCCUUGUGCACCUAAAUUUAUAAUGGCUAAGUUUGUAUAAAUUUAAAAAAAUCUCAUGGUUGAGGUAACAGGACUCGACAAAGCCAAAAGUUAGGACGAAAAGCAUUUUCCAAAAUAAAAAAAUGAAAUGUUUAGCGGGCGAGUUUAUUUACCAAGAGACUGCUGUAAAAGAAGUAAGGAUUUAACCCCAAUUAUAAAACCUCGGUAUUCAGUUUAAUUUUCAAGUGCGUGGUUAAUACGCUUAUAUGUUAUAGCUGUCUGCUGCUUUUGCCAAAAGCCAUUGUACUUCCAGCAAGUGGCCGAACCUGUCGGUCGGGCUAAUUGGCAAAUAAAUCGACACCUUUAUUCUUUCUGGGUGUAAUUUGUGCAUAAUUCUUUUUGGCCGAAAGACUGUUGUCGCCGCAAGUCUCCUUAAGGAUAUGAAGGCGAGCCUCCAGGCUAUUUAUUUGUCGCCGGAAGGCGCUAUGUUCCACGUGUAAAUUCGUGAAUUUUUUCCAAAAACCACGAAUAGCCCGUGAUAAACUAGAAUUUUCUGUCCUAAUAUAAUUAAUGGAAUAAAUUAUAUGUUUUAAUUAGGAAGAAAUAUUUUCCCUAAAUAAUAAAUUAUCCUAAUUUCCUUGUUUUAUACGUUCCUUGAGGCGGGACACUGUUUUUUCCCACAAUUUGGUUUUGGCCUCGACAAUGGCAGCUUUAAUUUCAGCGCCGCCAAUACGAUCUUCAAGUCGAGAAGUUGUUAUUAUUUCCGACUAUAAGUUUUUGUUGGUUUUUUGGAAUUCCCGUACGACCUCCAAAAUUUUAAAUUCACAUCCAUCUCUUAAACGGCUUAAAUUUAAUGGAAAAAGGGGUCGCUGAUGCAAAUCUAGGGUGUUAAAUGGGGAAAUCCAAGCAGGUAAGAGGUCCUCAUCAGGAUUGCGUGAUGAUAUUAUGCACGCAGAAAAAGCCAAAAGCUAAGAAACCAACGUUUUAGUCCAAAACUGAAGGUUUUAAGAGAAAAGCAGCUGAGGUAGCAUAUCUUAACUUUUUAAACUAUUGGCAGUCUUUGGAGUCCUGGCGACCGGCUGAACCAGGAUCCAGUUUUUAGGAAAUAUUCUAAAACCAGAAUUAGGAGCAAUUAUAGGAAGAACUGGUUUGUACAAAAUAAAUAUUAAAAUUAAAAGGUUUUAUAGCGUGGCCUGCGAGAUAUAAAUAAAUAUUAAGACGCAAAUAAUAGUGUCGGCGGUGCUGUAACGCCAACAUUAAUAAAUAAUUAGCAAGUUUUAAUAAGGGUUUUGGCCUGUCGCCUUUGUACCUAGCGGCACAAUGCGCCUGUAAUAUAUUACCCGUGGGCGCUAUUGGCAGCCUUUCGUCUCUUUUAAGGGCUCGCGUAACUCUGGAAGAGCAAUAUAUUAAAUUCUUAACCCUUAUUGGUAUUAUGUCGCGAAAAAAAAUAAUUGCGAUUACAAAAUAUUAAAUAACGGAAUGUAAAUUAGUUAUUUUCUUUUAGAUUUGUGGCAGUUGCGACGGAAUUGCACCUAGUUAUUACGCUUACGGGAAAAUAAAUAACAUAUGGUAUCACUUGUUUUGCCUGUUUUUUCCAUGUUUUCCGUUAAAAUAUUUAACCACCAUUAUAUUAAACUGGCUCAGGCCGCUCCCCACAAUUUUAAUUAUUUCCUUAACUUUUUUUAAAAUACUAAAACUUUCCCCAGAUUGGAUUUCCAGUUUUUCAAAUAUAGCAAAAAUCUGUGUAUUGGUAUUAUUAAUCUUUGCAAAUUUAUCCGCCAAUUGCUGAUCUUUUUGUUUUGCUGCAUUUUCGGAUUUCUCGAGUCGGGAUAUUGUAAUAAUUCCAAGAUUUUUAUUUAUUUGUCAGUCCUAUUCUUUUAUAGGGGUUUAGGCUCGCUACAAACCUUUUUAAAUCCUCUUUUUCGCAAUUGUUAAACUCGGUAAUAAAAGCUCCGUAAUUGAAGUCCACGUUUAACCCUGGAAGGACGCCGGAAUGGUUCCUUAAAUUUUAUAUCCCUUCCACGUUGUCGAAAAAGUUGGAAUUAAGGCAGGCGUUUGCAUGCCAAUUUGGGUCUAAUAUGAAGUUAUAACUGUCGUCCAUAGCGCCUGGUUGCAGGGCUUUAAUAAAUAUAAAAGACCGCAAGCCGGGAUUCGGGGUCCAGCGUCGUUACAAAAAGGCAAAAUACCACCGUUUCAUUUGAAAAAAAGUUUAAGAAAAACAAACGUUUGAAUUUAUUAUAUAUACCGAAUUUAAAAUGCUGCUUCCGAUUCUUUUAAUUGUUUUUGUUUUUUUGAGCAGCGUAUUCGGAGGCCCUUUUAACUUUUAUAUCUCAAACCCACCUUUGCAACUCGUUGCUGGCAAAUUUAUAAUAUAAACCAUAUAUAUGCACCAAAUUCCCUUGUUUUCGCCACUAAUUUAGCAAUGCUAACCACGUUUACAGAAAUCACACCCCGGCCAGGAAAAAUUGCCGCGCGGCAAUUUAUUUUGCAAACCCUGCCUUUCCACCAAUUACAUAUUUUUACGGCUUAGGAUCCUGUCAUUUUGGGUCGGAAAACGCCAGUUUCCAAAUGCCCAUUGGGGUGCCGAAUGGUGAUAUAUAUGUGACCUGGUCAGACCCUUUCCUCCCUUGCCUGCUUUCUAGUUUGCGUUGCAUUAAUAAUGGAGCCGUGUAGGACGUGCGGGGUGGCUGCACAUAUUUAUGUGCGCGCCAUUGUUUCGGAGGGACGUGGUAGCCCCCGAACUCCCCUAUUUUUAAAUGGAACCGUUUUUUGUCAAAAUUGGCCACGGAAUGCCAACACGGCAUUGCUAAUUUCUCUUUUUAUGGAAGGUGGUUCGACCACAAAUAUAAAUACAAGCACGACGUCACAUAUAAAUAUAACGUCUAGUAUAAGCACAACCGUAACCACGACCACAGAUACGUUAUCAGAUGGCACAUUGUUUUCCUCAAUGUUUUUGAACGAGGGUUAAUUCAUAUUACCCUCCACCCUGGCCAGUUUUGUAAGCCGCAGUGCUAAUGGUAAUGGUUUUGUUCAGGUUAGCACCGCUUCUCGUCUUGCAGCCCCUAAUGUCGCGCGAGGUUUAGUUACAGUAACGAGGACCUUUACAACGUUAUUUACAACUAUUACAUUAUCUGAAUCGCUUUAAUUACGGAUGGGUGUUUCUUUAGCUCUUUUUGGCUAUUUAUUUAAUUUCGAAGAGAUUGUGCGACAUUUGCUUAUAUUUGACAAUGAAAAAGGAUUUUCAUAUAAUUUACGUAUAUAGUCCGAAAACAACCUGCAUAUAGAUAAUAUAUUUUUUCGUACCUGUUGGACCUGCAAAAUUUAGCACCAAUGUAAUCCUUUUUUUAUAAUGUGUGGAGCACCAAAAAAGUUUGACCAAUUAUAUUGCAAAGAAAAAUUUACCAGUUCCAACCUUUUAUGCAAAUAUUUUAUUGUAAUACCAAACUGUCGGGUUUAUUUCCGCUUUUUCAACGCACCGAUGGAAAGCCAUUACCUCUGUUACCCAGACCACCUCGUAGGCCGAAUUGGCAGAAGGAUCUGGAUCCUGGAUCCUGGAUUCCGGACAACUUGCCCCGAAAUCCUCGCCAAGAACCUCCAAAAAAGCCUGCGCGCGAGCUGGUCAUGGAUUGACAAAUAUUAAUAUAGUAAACGAGUCCUAGUUUGAUACGGAAUCAAAUUACGCAAUCCAUGUCCACCUACCGCGAAAAUCUGCCCAUAUUAACAUUCCAUCCUUUCCAGUUUCCCUAUUAUCGUCCCGAUAUCGGUUUAUAUUACCCAAAUAGAAGCUUUCAGCAAUAUACGCUAACCCAUCUUCGAAUACCUUAUAAACGUAUUAAAGGAUUAAGAAUAAUAUUAAACAAACCUCCUUAUAUAUAAUAUUUUAAUCUUUUAUCCCAUAUUCCAAUAAAAUUUUGUUCAAAUUGCGGGCUAAUAAUGGCAUUAAAAGCUUUGAUAUUUUUAUCAUUAUCCCAAUCUGGAGGCGACCAGAGGUUUGCUUUUGACAUGUGCCUUUCGAUGCGCUGGUCCCGAAUUGGGUAUCCAGUGUUAAACGUGGUAGGCGCAGUAAAAUGGGUUAAAUUAAUCUUUAAUCUUAUUUUUUGGCUUCGCAAGGGACGGUUUAAAUAGCACCAGAAGAUUAAGUCGUUCGGAGUUAACAAACGUAGGUUGGCAGCGUUGUGGUUUGAGGCGUGUGUAACAUUAUUAGGUUUUCCGUAUCCGGCAGUUGUUAAUAGGCCUGUAAAGGACAAGGCUAAUUUAUUACCAUCGCCAGGAAACUGAAGCCUUUUUUUGUAAUAUAUUAUCUUGUUGGCACUGGGCCCUUCCCCCGAUUUAAUACGUCCCUGGACGAUAUUUAGCACCCCAAUGCGCUUAUUUUAAACGAUGAAAGUCCGUUAAAUAUUGGCAGGGCCUUCAGAAUAAAACUCCUGCCACUCCUUUAUAUUUUUAAAUUGAUUAAUGCGAAAUCGGACGCAAAUAUAGGAGUUAUAAAAAGAGUUUUUCUAAUUUCCCAGGGCGUAAAAGUAGCCGUUAAUAAUUUCGAAGCAGAUGUUGGCGCCAAUAUCGGAGCUAAUUCUGUCAGGAAGAUGUGUCAAAUCGUUUUGCCAAGUACCAUUCAGGAGAUUACAGCUUUGAAAUACCUAGCCCUGAAGUACCCAGCGCUAACUUCCAUCCCUUGCGAUGGUAUUAUAAGUACCAUAAUAAAGGUAUUUAUCGUUAUUUCGUACGAAGAUUUUCCGCGAGGAUGCAAAUGUAUGAUUGAAUAAGCGGCCGUGGGAAAGGUUAAUAACUAGAAGCCGGGGGAAUAAUCGAUUUCCGGGGUUGAGAUAAUAAGAAACGAAGCCAUCCGCGUAAUUUAAGAUACGCAGUUUAAAAUAUUUAUCCUUGAUGGUCCCAGAAAGGUGGUCUUUUAUUUCCAGAAGUUUUCCGAUGCUAAUAAUGUCUUUAAAUGCCGAGUUGUGCAAAUCACGUAUUUUUAAUAACCCGUUGUUAAGGUAGUAAAGAACUCCAUUUAAAUAAAAGAAGGAUUUUGCUUCGGUAACGACCGCGGCCAAGUACGAAGAUGCAGACAAAAUCGCGGUUCGACGCUUUACAAUUAGCCGUAAUGUUUUAGCAUAAUUUUUGCUUUUAUAAGCCGCCUUGGUCUCUGGUGCAAACGGGGCGGUCGACUUCCGUGUAAAUAUUGUUAAUGUCAGACUCCGGAACGACCCGAAUUCCUCGACUCCCUUGGUAAAAAAAGUAUAUUAAAUAUUAACGAAAUGUGUGUUUGGAAUAUUUGUGCUGGUUUAAAAUUGCAAUUUACUUUUAAAACCAUUGCGCAUAUAUGGUUGUCCCAAAUGAGCCGUUGCAGGGUUCGAUACGAUAGAGAAAAGUUAAAUAAGUCCUGCGCGUCAAAUUCCUGAGCAAUUUAAGAUACGAGCUCCUAUAUUAAAUCGUAAAUGGGUAUCGUGGAAGAACUGUGAAAGGCGCCAAAGCGAUAAGAUGCAAAAUCCAAGUUAGUGGGUUUUUAGCUUUGGAAAUUAGGGCGUUUUUGUCUCGUACCCACGUUAAACGGUUAAUAAUUUUAAAAUAUAUAUUGGGGAGACGAUGUUAUAUUCAAAUGUUAGCCUUGCGUCAGAUACCCUUUUUGUUAGUUUUGCGAAUCGUUAGCUAAUAUAACCCUACGUAAUCACAUUUUGGUCUGUUGGGUUAAUUUAAUAUGCAAUAUAUUUUUUGUAAUACCAGAUUAGAAUUGUCUAAGCGUCUUUCUGCAUAUAAGGGACCCGUUACCCAAAAUAGAAAUUAUAAAGCAAAUUAUCAACCACCUAAAUAUAGAAAGUUUUGAAUAAACUGGCCUUGAUGCUCGCAUAUUAUUUGUAAACCGGGUAUUAUUACGCGGAAAACAAACCUCAGUUGAAAAGUUGCUAUAUUUAGUUUUGGGUGCGGUAAGCACCCGCAAUAUCGCGUAUCCCACGGCCAUAUUUUUCUCAUAUUAUAAUGUGAAUUCUUUUACUAUUUUAGAAGUUUUGAAUAAUUUUAUGCGAAAGAUGCGUUACGCGCGAUAUUUUUAGCAUUACAAACCUACACAUCGCGAUAUUUCCAAAU